This 602-nucleotide long non-coding RNA is filed under the name Nicotiana benthamiana. RNAcentral describes it as "long non-coding RNA (NBEN_LNC007796)". The record is from RNAcentral. Lineage: Eukaryota; Viridiplantae; Streptophyta; Magnoliopsida; Solanales; Solanaceae.
AAAAAAAGCCUGCGGGUCCAUCAAAGAAGCAGGUUCAUUUCAUGAUUUGCUCUUUGAUGCCCAGCUCCUAUGCAAUUUGAAUGGACCUUGUAUGACUAAUCUUCAUUAUUGUACAAAUUAGUGGCUAGCAAUUAAGAUAUUUUAUCUGCGACUUUGAUCCCAGCUCCUAAGGAAUUUGAAUGGACCUUGUUUAUGACUAAUCUUCAUGUGAUAUUGUUGAACAAAUUAGUGGCUAGCACUUAAGAUAUUUUAUGUGGAGGACUAUUUGGUUCCGGACUAGAUUUGCCACAUUUUCGGGUAAAUAUAAUAAGGCAAUGCCUAAAGAUUGAUCUUCUUUUGUUAACCAUUCUGCUACUUUCAAGACUAAGCUUUUUCCUAGUAUUGUGAGCUCCACACCCAAACCCCUACCCUGGAGCCCAAUACCUGCUUUUCCAUUUUGCUCACUUGGUGUCUCAAGUCAACCCCAACCUUAUUGUUGAAGGAGGAGGGUCUUUGCCACUAGGCUAUCCCUCCCUCAAUGCUGCUUAAAGCUUUACCACUCUUCGAUUUAUUCUUAUAACAUAUACCUUUUGUGCAGAACAAACCACCUGGGAAUGUCAAGG